UUGGACGGGGCCCGCACAAGCGGAGGAACAUGUGGUUUAAUUCGAUGAUACGCGAGGAACCUUACCUGGGCUUAAAUGUAGAGUGCAUUUUUUAGGGAUAGAAAUUCCCUUCGGGGCUUUCUGCAAGGUGCUGCAUGGUUGUCGUCAGCUCGUGCCGUGAGGUGUCGGGUUAAGUCCCAUAACGAGCGCAACCCUUAUCGUUAGUUGCCAUCUGGUAAUGCAGGGGACUCUAGCGAAACUGCCACCGUAAGGUGAGAGGAAGGUGGGGAUGACGUCAAAUCAGCACGGCCCUUAUGUCCAGGGCUACACACGUGUUACAAUGGUCGGUACAGAGGGCAGCUACCUGGUGACAGGAUGCUAAUCUCGAAAACCGGUCUCAGUUCGGAUCGAAGUCUGCAACUCGACUUCGUGAAGCUGGAUUCGCUAGUAAUCGCGCAUCAGCUAUGGCGCGGUGAAUACGUUCCCGGGCCUU
RNAcentral lists this ribosomal RNA (472 nucleotides) under uncultured Sphingobacteriales bacterium. RNAcentral's name for it is "bacterial SSU rRNA". It matches the Rfam family "Bacterial small subunit ribosomal RNA", at positions 916 to 1381 of the family's 1533-position model. Lineage: Bacteria; Pseudomonadati; Bacteroidota; Sphingobacteriia; Sphingobacteriales. The record is from RNAcentral.